Molecule: ribosomal RNA, 253 nt
Filed under: uncultured bacterium
Lineage: Bacteria
Description: partial 16S ribosomal RNA
Rfam family: Bacterial small subunit ribosomal RNA
Source: RNAcentral
UACGUAGGGUGCAAGCGUUGUCCGGAAUUAUUGGGCGUAAAGAGCUCGUAGGCGGUCUGUCGCGUCGAAUGUGAAACCCCGAGGCUCAACCUCGGGUCUGCAUUCGAUACGGGCAGACUAGAGUUCGGUAGGGGAGUCUGGAAUUCCUGGUGUAGCGGUGAAAUGCGCAGAUAUCAGGAGGAACACCGGUGGCGAAGGCGGGACUCUGGGCCGAUACUGACGCUGAGGAGCGAAAGCGUGGGGAGCAAACAGG